GAUGAACGCUAGCGGCAGGCCUAACACAUGCAAGUCGAGGGGCAGCACAGAAACAGCAAUGUUUUGGUGGCGACCGGCGGACGGGUGCGUAACGCGUAUGCAACCUACCUUUAACAGGGGGAUAACGGAGAGAAAUUUCCACUAAUACCCCAUAACAUCGAUCAAGGCAUCUUGAUUGGUUGAAAACUCCGGUGGUUAAAGAUGGGCAUGCGUUGUAUUAGGUAGUUGGUGAGGUAAUGGCUCACCAAGCCUACGAUACAUAGGGGGACUGAGGGGUUAGCCCCCCACACUGGUACUGAGACACGGACCAGACUCCUACGGGAGGCGGCAGUGAGGAAUAUUGGUCAAUGGGGGCAACCCUGAACCAGCCCUGCCGCGUGCAGGAAGACGGCUCUAUGAGUUGUAAACUGCUUUUAAACAGGGAUAAAGCACAGUAUGUAUACUGUGUUGAAGGUACUGUAAGAAUAAGGAUCGGCUAACUCCGUGCCAGCCGCCGCAGUAA
This 502-nucleotide ribosomal RNA is filed under the name uncultured bacterium. RNAcentral describes it as "partial 16S ribosomal RNA". It matches the Rfam family "Bacterial small subunit ribosomal RNA", at positions 28 to 523 of the family's 1533-position model. The record is from RNAcentral.